This 468-nucleotide ribosomal RNA is filed under the name uncultured bacterium. RNAcentral describes it as "partial 16S ribosomal RNA". It matches the Rfam family "Bacterial small subunit ribosomal RNA", at positions 28 to 507 of the family's 1533-position model. The record is from RNAcentral.
GACGAACGCUGGCGGCGUGCUUAACACAUGCAAGUCGAACGGAAAGGCCCUGCUUUUGUGGGGUGCUCGAGUGGCGAACGUGUGAGUAACACGUGAGUAACCUGCCCUUUACUGUGUGAUAACUUCAGGAAACUGGGGCUAAUACCGGCUAGGUGCUCCUGCUGCAUGGUGGUGGUUGGAAAGUUUCGGCGGUUGGGGAUGGACUUGCGGUUUAUUAGCUUGUUGGUGGGGUGGUGGCUUACCAAGGCUUUGACGGGUAGCCGGCCUGAGUGGGUGACCGGCGACAUUGGGACUGAGAGACGGCCGAGACUCCUACGGGAGGAAGCAGUGGGGAAUAUUGCACAAUGGGCGGAAGCCUGAUGCAGCAACGCCGCGUGCGGGAUAACGGCCUUCGGGUUGUAAACCGCUUUCGCCUGUGACGAAGCGUGAGUGACGGUAAUGAGUAAAGAAGCACCGGCUAACUACGUG